Molecule: small nuclear RNA, 159 nt
Organism: Xenopus tropicalis (tropical clawed frog)
Lineage: Eukaryota; Metazoa; Chordata; Amphibia; Anura; Pipidae
Gene: U4
Rfam family: U4 spliceosomal RNA
About the family: U4 small nuclear RNA (U4 snRNA) is a component of the major U2-dependent spliceosome. The structure of U4 snRNA from yeast and human has been reported. U4 snRNA presents a k-turn RNA motif in the 5p-SL related to recognition of Snu13 protein.
Source: Ensembl
UGCCUCAUGCAGUGGCAGUAUCAUAGCCAAUGAUGUCCAACCGAGGCAUGAUUAUUGCUAAUUGUGCUGAAGCGGAAGCAUGAUGAAAGUGUAGGGGCUGUGUUCCCAUUAGGGAAGAGCUGCUGGCUUAUUUUUGGUCGGGGGCUUCGCACAUGCUCC